GAUCAUGGCUCAGGAUGAACGCUAGCGGCAGGCUUAAUACAUGCAAGUCGAGGGGCAGCAUGGUGUAGCAAUACACUGAUGGCGACCGGCAAACGGGUGCGGAACACGUACAGAACCUUCCUUCGAGCGGGGAAUAGCCCAGAGAAAUUUGGAUUAAUACCCCAUAGUAUAUUGGAGUGGCAUCACUUUAGUAUUAAAGAUUUAUCACUUGAAGAUGGCUGUGCGGCUGAUUAGGUAGUUGGCGGGGUAACGGCCCACCAAGCCUGCGAUCAGUAACUGGUGUGAGAGCACGACCAGUCACACGGGCACUGAGACACGGGCCCGACUCCUACGGGAGGCAGCAGUAAGGAAUAUUGGUCAAUGGACGAAAGUCUGAACCAGCCAUGCCGCGUGGAGGAUGAAGGUCCUCUGGAUUGUAAACUUCUUUUAUAUGGGACGAAAAAGGGCUUUCUAGCUCGUCUGACGGUACCAUAUGAAUAAGCACCGGCUAACUCCGUG
Molecule: ribosomal RNA, 498 nt
Filed under: uncultured bacterium
Lineage: Bacteria
Description: bacterial SSU rRNA
Rfam family: Bacterial small subunit ribosomal RNA
Source: RNAcentral